UAGCUCUUGUGCUCAACGAUCUGCUCUGACUGGAAAUUGGGACUCCCCAACACCAAAGCAAAGUAGAGUCUACAGAAUGAAACUGAUAAGUGGAAAGGUUUACCAAUAAAAAUGCAGAUGCCUUCUGGAGCAGAGGUGAAGGGAGACUUUCUUUGAAAGGAUGAAAGAUAUGGUGGAUCCUGGUGGUGAGCAAAUGGAUUUCUGCAGCUGAGAUCUAAUGCAAAUUCCCAGGCCAAGGUUUAAUUGAGAAAAUGGAUUAUUUUAUCUGCCCAUGCAGAUAAAGAGUCCCUCCCCAGCUUUCCUGCAGACCUCGUUCAAUUAUCGGAAGACUGCUACAAAAGCCUCCUCUUCUCCAGCCUGAGCAAGCCCAGCUCUCUCAGCCUGUCCUCAUGUGGGAGGCACUCCAGCCCACAGAUCAUCUUCAUGGCCUCCUCUGGACUCACUCUAACAGAUCCAUGUCCUUCCCGUGCUGAGGAUUCCAGAACUCAAUGCAGGGUUCCAGUAGAGUCCUUGUGAGAGUAGAAGGACAGAAUCAACUCUGUUGAUCUGCGGGUUGCAUUUCUUUAGAUGCAGCCCAGGUUACUGUUGGCUUUCUGGGCUGCAAGUGCAUGUUGUUUGCCCAUGCUGAGCUUCUCACCCACCAGCACCCUCAAGUCCUUCUCUUCAGGGCUUGUUCUAAUCCAUUCUCUGCCCAUCCUGCAAUUGUGCCUGGAAUUGCGCUGACUCAGGUGCAGAAUUUGACCUUCUUGAAAUUCAUUAGGUUGUUGAGAGCCUGUCUAGGUCUCUCUGAGGGAGUCCUGGGGACCUGAUGAAAAGUAUUGUCAUUCCUUUCUGAUCAUGUGGUUUAGUUUGCUUCAAUUAGAAAUAAGUAUGCAGGAAGUGGAAAGCAGAAGUGGCGUCAUCCCCACUUGGCUGUAGCUACAGCCUGGCUAGACAUCCCAAUGAAGGAUUUGGAAAAUACUCCGCAAAGACCUACAGUUUACGUGUACCCAAUGGGAAUUUUGCAUUCAUUUUGGCAGGACAUUAAUUUCAUCCCAGCAUUUAUAAAAUUAUGGUGUAUUAAAUCUGUUAUCUCCCAAGGGAAAUUUAACGGACAAUUGAAAUAACUUGGACCUCUCUCUGAAAAUAUUGCAUAGUGAAUUGUAUUAGUGAUAUGCCUUGAAAGAUUUCCUGUGGCAAAA
Molecule: long non-coding RNA, 1181 nt
Organism: Cuculus canorus (common cuckoo)
Lineage: Eukaryota; Metazoa; Chordata; Aves; Cuculiformes; Cuculidae
Exons: 3
Source: RefSeq, a predicted model, not a curated record